RNAcentral lists this long non-coding RNA (329 nucleotides) under Homo sapiens (human). Its description in RNAcentral is "HSALNT0394331". The record is from RNAcentral. Lineage: Eukaryota; Metazoa; Chordata; Mammalia; Primates; Hominidae.
AAUUGGAUAUGGGUAUUGUAGCUGAAACGUCUUGCGAGCUGAGUCAGGGUCGGGGAAGCUGUGAUGGCAAUGAGAAGUCAACACACUGAGGAUGGAGAGAAAGAAGAUGAGUCUGGGAGAGAAAGAGAAUGAUUCUUCUGGCCGAGGGAAAGCAAGAAUAUCUGUUCCUGCAACUGCACUGAUUCUAGAAACACUCUCUAUUCGAACUCUCAUGAGAUGGACCGAAAAUGCUGACGCCAAUGCCAAGGAAAAAAGUGUCUUGAAAAAGCAGCCGUGGACGUGGAGUUACCAAAUCAUCCGAAGUGGCUCCUGGACCGGGUGGAGGAGCC